This 525-nucleotide ribosomal RNA is filed under the name uncultured bacterium. RNAcentral describes it as "partial 16S ribosomal RNA". It matches the Rfam family "Bacterial small subunit ribosomal RNA", at positions 355 to 873 of the family's 1533-position model. The record is from RNAcentral.
UGGGGAAUUUUGGACAAUGGGCGAAAGCCUGAUCCAGCAAUGCCGCGUGUGUGAAGAAGGCCUUCGGGUUGUAAAGCACUUUUGUCCGGAAAGAAAUCCUUGGCUCUAAUACAGUCGGGGGAUGACGGUACCGGAAGAAUAAGCACCGGCUAACUACGUGCCAGCAGCCGCGGUAAUACGUAGGGUGCAAGCGUUAAUCGGAAUUACUGGGCGUAAAGCGUGCGCAGGCGGUUUGCUAAGACCGAUGUGAAAUCCCCGGGCUCAACCUGGGAACUGCAUGGUGACUGGCAGGCUAGAGUAUGGCAGAGGGGGGUAGAAUUCCACGUGUAGCAGUGAAAUGCGUAGAGAUGUGGAGGAAUACCGAUGGCGAAGGCAGCCCCCUGGGCCAAUACUGACGCUCAUGCACGAAAGCGUGGGGAGCAAACAGGAUUAGAUACCCUGGUAGUCCACGCCCUAAAACGAUGUCAACUAGUUGUUGGGGAUUCAUUUUCCUAGUAACGUAGCUAACGCGUGAAGUUGACCGCC